This is a non-coding RNA of Candidatus Coatesbacteria bacterium RBG_13_66_14, 2998 nucleotides long. Lineage: Bacteria; Candidatus Coatesiibacteriota. The record is from Rfam.
GGUCAAGCGAUUAAGGGCACACGGUGGAUGCCUUGGCGCUGGGAGGCGAUGAAGGACGCAGUCGACAGCGAAAUGCCCCGGGUAGCCGUUAAACAGGCUUUGAUCCGGGGGUGUCCGAAUGGGGCAACCCGACGCGGGUUAUGCCGCGUCAUCCCCUUGCUGAACACAUAGGCUUGGGGAAGCCAACCGGGGGAACUGAAACAUCUUAGUACCCCGAGGAAAAGAAACCAAAAGGGAUCCCCCUAGUAGUGGCGAGCGAAAGGGGGAAUAGCCUAAACCGCUGCUGUUUACAAGGUUCCGGCCGUUGCAGCGGCGGUGUUGAGGGACGUCCUUGCCGAACCGGAAAUAGGCUAGGAGUUACAAAACCGACGGUUAGCCGAACCUUUUGGAAAGCUGUGGCCAUAGCGGGUGAUAGCCCCGUAGGCGAAAACCGAACGGUCUCCGAUGGACGCACCCAAGUAGCGCCGGACACGUGAAACCCGGUGUGAAUCUGGGAGGACCACCUUCCAAGGCUAAAUACUACCCAGCGACCGAUAGUGAACCAGUACCGUGAGGGAAAGGUGAAAAGAACCCCGGGAGGGGAGUGAAAUAGUACCUGAAACCGUGUGCCUACAAGGUGUGGGAGCGGCCUUGUGCCGUGACCGCGUGCCUUUUGUAGAAUGAGCCGGUGAGUUUCCGUCGGGAGCAAGGUUAAGGCCGACAGGCCGUAGCCGUAGCGAAAGCGAGUCUUAAACGGGCGAUUUAGUUUCCGGCGGUAGACGCGAAACCUGGUGACCUAGCCAUGGGCAGGUUGAAACGACCGUAAAAGGUUGUGGAGGACCGAACCCGCAAGAGUUGAAGAUCUUGGGGAUGACCUGUGGCUAGCGGUGAAAAGCCAAUCGAACCAGGAGAUAGCUCGUUCUCCCCGAAAUAGCUUUAGGGCUAGCCUCGCGUGAUAAGUUGCGGUUGUAGAGCACUGAUUGAGCUAGGGGGCUUACCAGCUUACCAAACCCAUUCAAACUCCGAAUGCCGUAACUCGUAUCGCGGGAGUCAGACUGCGGGGGCUAAGCUCCGUAGUCAAGAGGGAAACAGCCCAGACCGACAGCUAAGGUCCCCAAAUCCGUGCUAAGUGGGAAACGAUGUGGGAUUACCCAGACAGCCAGGAGGUUGGCUCAGAAGCAGCCAUUCCUUUAAAGAGUGCGUAACAGCUCACUGGUCAAGUGAUCCUGCGCGGAAAAUGUAACGGGGCUCAAGCACGGUACCGAAGCUUCGGAUCCGCAAGGAUGGUAGGGGAGCAUUCCGUCUUAGGUCGAAGGCGGCCCGCGAGGUCCGCUGGACGAAACGGAAGUGAGUAUGCCGGCAUGAGUAGCGAUAAAAAGGGUGAGAAACCCUUUCGCCGUAAGCCUAAGGGUUCCUGGGGAAGGUUAAUCCGCCCAGGGUUAGUCGGCCCCUAAGGCGAGGCCGAAAGGCGUAGCCGAUGGGUAGCAGGUCAAAUAUUCCUGCACCAGCAACGUGCGCUCGAGCGAUGGGGUGACGCAGGAGGGUAGGCCGGCCACCGGACGGAAGUGGUGGUUUAAGCCCGUAGGGGGAAGGCUUUGGCAAAUCCGGGCCUUCUAUACCCCGAGAGGUGAUGACGAUGGGAGAAAUCCCUUCAAGCGGCUGAUCCCACGCUGCCGGGAAAAACCUCUAGCGAGCACGUUACUGACCGUACCGCAAACCGACACAGGUAGGCGAGGAGAGCAUCCUAAGGCGCUCGAGAGAACUCUGGUCAAGGAACUCGGCCAACUGACCCCGUAACUUCGGGAGAAGGGGUGCUUCUGACCGUGACGGGACUCGCUCCCCGAGCGGCUGGAAGUCACAGAAAAUCGGCCCAGGCGACUGUUUACUAAAAACACAGGUCUCUGCUAAGGCGCAAGCCUACGUAUAGGGACUGACGCCUGCCCGGUGCCGGAAGGUUAAGAGGAGGGGUUAGCCGAAGUUUACUUCGGCGAAGCCCUGAAUUGAAGCCCCGGUAAACGGCGGCCGUAACUAUAACGGUCCUAAGGUAGCGAAAUUCCUUGUCGGGUAAGUUCCGACCCGCACGAAUGGCGCAACGACUUGGGCACUGUCUCGACCAGAGACUCGGCGAAAUUGUAUUACCGGUGAAGAUGCCGGUUACCCGCGACUGGACAGAAAGACCCCGUGGAGCUUUACUGCAGCUUGAUGUUGGGUUCUGGUGCAUUUUGUGUAGGAUAGGUGGGAGGCUAUGAAGCGCGGGCGCCAGCCCGCGUGGAGCCAUCCUUGAAAUACCACCCUGGAUGUAUCGGCAUUCUAACCUUGACCCGUAAGCCGGGUUGGGAACAGCGUCUGGUGGGCAGUUUGUCUGGGGCGGAUACCUCCCAAAAUGUAACGGAGGUGCCCUAAGGUCGCCUCAGCGCGUAUGGAAAUCGCGUGACGAGUGUAAAGGCAAAAGGCGGCUUAACUGCGAGAGAGACAUCUCAAGCAGAUGCGAAAGCAGGGCUUAGUGAUCUUGUGGUCCCGAGUGGAAGGGCCAUGACUUAUCGGACAAAAGUUACCCCGGGGAUAACAGGCUUAUAGCGCCCGAGCGUCCACAGCGACGGCGCUGUUUGGCACCUCGAUGUCGGCUCGCCGUAUCCUGGGGCUGUAGGAGGUCCCAAGGGUUGGGCUGUUCGCCCAUUAAAACGGCACGCGAGCUGGGUUUAGAACGUCGUGAGACAGUUCGGUCCCUAUCCGUCGUGGGUGUUGGAAGCUUGAGGAGAGCUGCCCCUAGUACGAGAGGAUUGGGGUGGACGAACCUCUAGUGUACCGGUUGUCGCGCCAGCGGCAUCGCCGGGUAGCUAUGUUCGGAAAGGAUAAGCGCUGAAAGCAUCUAAGCGCCAAGCCAACUCCAAAACCAGGCUUCCCUGGGGACUUGAUCCCCCUAAAGGCGCCUCGCAGACUACGAGGUUGAUAGGACGCUGGUGUAAGUACCGUGAGGUAUUCAGCCUAGCGUUACUAAUCCGCCGUGAGGCUUGACCAU